AUACGGAGGGUGCAAGCGUUACUCGGAAUCACUGGGCGUAAAGCGCGCGCAGGCGGCUAUUUAAGUUGGAUGUGAAAGCCUACGGCUCAACCGUAGAACUGCAUCCAAAACUAUUUAGCUAGAGUGUGGGAGAGGAAGAUGGAAUUAGUUGUGUAGGGGUAAAAUCCGUAGAGAUAACUAGGAAUACCAAAAGCGAAGGCAAUCUUCUGGAACACUACUGACGCUGAGGUGCGAAAGCGUGGGUAGCAAACAGGAUUAGAAACCCUAGUAGUCC
Molecule: ribosomal RNA, 274 nt
Filed under: uncultured bacterium
Lineage: Bacteria
Description: partial 16S ribosomal RNA
Rfam family: Bacterial small subunit ribosomal RNA
Source: RNAcentral